This 24-nucleotide non-coding RNA is filed under the name Arabidopsis thaliana (thale cress). The record is from RNAcentral. Lineage: Eukaryota; Viridiplantae; Streptophyta; Magnoliopsida; Brassicales; Brassicaceae.
UUGCCCAUCUUUGCUCAUUCUUGC